RNAcentral lists this long non-coding RNA (235 nucleotides) under Homo sapiens (human). Its description in RNAcentral is "HSALNT0159153". The record is from RNAcentral. Lineage: Eukaryota; Metazoa; Chordata; Mammalia; Primates; Hominidae.
AUGCCUGCUUAUGUCCACAGCACUUUGUUCUAGGUUCCAGCCCCUGUAGGAAAUGAGGGUAUCUAAGAGAUUGCUUCGGCAUUCAGUGAGUGCAUAGGUUAGCAGGCUGUUAAGAUGAGAAGGACCUGCUGUGUUUCACAUCAGACACCACAUCAAAAACACUAAAAGCAACACGGAAUGGAAUUCAGACAGGUCAGAGUGAAUUAAAAAAAAGCAUGAUGUGCCGGGUGUGGUG